AUUGAACGCUGGCGGCAGGCUUAACACAUGCAAGUCGAGCGGAGAUGAGGUGCUUGCACCUUAUCUUAGCGGCGGACGGGUGAGUAAUGCUUAGGAAUCUGCCUAUUAGUGGGGGACAACAUUCCGAAAGGAAUGCUAAUACCGCAUACGUCCUACGGGAGAAAGCAGGGGAUCUUCGGACCUUGCGCUAAUAGAUGAGCCUAAGUCGGAUUAGCUAGUUGGUGGGGUAAAGGCCUACCAAGGCGACGAUCUGUAGCGGGUCUGAGAGGAUGAUCCGCCACACUGGGACUGAGACACGGCCCAGACUCCUACGGGAGGCAGCAGUGGGGGAUAUUGGACAACGGGGGAAACCCUGAUCCAGCCAUGCCGCGUGUGUGAAGAAGGCCUUAUGGUUGUAAAGCACUUUAAGCGAGGAGGAGGCUACUGAGACUAAUACUCUUGGAUAGUGGACGUUACUCGCAGAAUAAGCACCGGCUAACUCUGUGCCAGCAGCCGCGGUAA
This 501-nucleotide ribosomal RNA is filed under the name uncultured bacterium. RNAcentral describes it as "partial 16S ribosomal RNA". It matches the Rfam family "Bacterial small subunit ribosomal RNA", at positions 30 to 523 of the family's 1533-position model. The record is from RNAcentral.